This 253-nucleotide ribosomal RNA is filed under the name uncultured bacterium. RNAcentral describes it as "partial 16S ribosomal RNA". It matches the Rfam family "Bacterial small subunit ribosomal RNA", at positions 524 to 776 of the family's 1533-position model. The record is from RNAcentral.
UACAGAGGGGGCAAGCGUUGUUCGGAAUUACUGGGCGUAAAGGGCGCGUAGGCGGCCUGUUAAGUCGAACGUGAAAUCCCCGGGCUCAACCCGGGAACUGCGUCCGAUACUGGUGGGCUUGAAUCCGGGAGAGGGAUGUGGAAUUCCAGGUGUAGCGGUGAAAUGCGUAGAUAUCUGGAGGAACACCGGUGGCGAAGGCGGCAUCCUGGACCGGUAUUGACGCUGAGGCGCGAAAGCCAGGGGAGCAAACGGG